RNAcentral lists this ribosomal RNA (276 nucleotides) under Triticum aestivum (bread wheat). RNAcentral describes it as "partial small subunit ribosomal RNA". The record is from RNAcentral. Lineage: Eukaryota; Viridiplantae; Streptophyta; Magnoliopsida; Poales; Poaceae.
AUCCGCCUGGCCCUGAAGAUCAGGAUCUUCCUGUGGCAAUGGAUCCGAGGCCGCCUCCCGUCCGGCGUGGAGGUCCUUAAGCAUAAUGGACCUGGGGAUGGGAUGUGCCCCUUGUGCGGCACGGUGGAGGAUGCUAACCACAUCUUCUUCUCGUGCUCCACGGCUCAGUUCCUUUGGUCCUGUUUCCGCGAGACGGUUGGGGGCCAGUGGUGCAACACCAACUUCCCUGACCUGCUUGCGGAAAUUCACGCCUCCCCCUCGCUACCCCCAUAUUAG